UCAGCAACACUUGCCUCCUCUUCUUCUACCCAGGGCACACGGAUAAAGGGAAAGUGGGGUGUAUAUAAAGAAAGAAUGCAGGGCGAGGAAAUUGAAAUGAAACACAAUAGUUCUCUUCCCUCUUGUUGCAGGAGAGGGAACAUAAGGCUAUUUGUUUUUUCCCCUUUUUCUACUAUAUGGCAUCGGGAGACCCCUGUGAAAGAGCAGUUGAGACAACAGACGGAGAUGAACACACUCCAGCUGGAGAACGAUGAUUGGCCCAGGGGACUUGGACUGAGGGAACACGUGCAGACCAAAUCAACAGACAAUAGCGCACGGUUUGAGGUUGCUCUGUGUUGCCAGGGCACAGUAGGGGUUCCAUAAGCGUUGGUUUAAGCGUCUGUGGUGAUUGGGUCUUUGAAGAUGGAGGAAGACAUCUGUCUGGAUGACAAGGACAGGACAAGUCAACCUGUCUCACCUCAAGGACUGCUGGCUAUGGAUGAUAGCACCAGGAAAAAAAUAUAUGUUCCUCAAAUACCUGAAGUUCUAUCAAGCCAUCCAGAACUAUAGCAUGUGGAAUUAUGUUAAAUCAAGUUACGUUGGAAAUUACAACUUCCUGUGUUUAAUACCGAUGUAUGCAGUGGCCUAGCAAGACAACUCUUUAAGAUCAACUACAUGUGACAAUCUUUCUUACUGUAGCUAUAUGCAGUAUUACUAUCUGUGUGUUUAGAGUCAAUGUGAUAUGAAGACUAACUAACUGCCCCAGGGUCAAAUCCCUCUCUUUAUAAACUGGGUGGUUCGAGCCCUGAAUGUUGACUGGCUGAAAGCUGUGGUAUAUCAGACCGUAUACCACGGGUAUGACAAAAAAAUGUAUGCUUACUGUUCUAAUUACGUUUGUAACAAGUUUAUAGCAAUAAGACACCUCAGGGGUUUGUGGUAUAUGGCCAAUAUCCACAAAAUGACCUAAAGUAUGUGGACACCUGCUCGUCGAACAUCUCAUUCCAAAAUCAUGGGCAUUAACAUGGAGUUGGUUCCCCCUUUGCUGCUAUAACAGCCUCCACUCUUCUGGGAAGGCUUUCCACUAGAUGUUGGAACAUUGCUGCGGGGACUUGCUUGAAAUCCAGCCACAAGAGCAGUAGUGAGGUCGGGCACUGAUGUUGGGCGAUUAGGCCUGGCUCACAGUCGGCUUUCCAAUUCAUCCCAUAGGUGUUCGAUGGAGUUGAGACCAGUCAAUUUCUUCCACACCGAUCUCGACAAACCAUUUCUGUAUGGACCUCGCUUGGUGCACAGGGGCAUUUUCAUGCUGAAACAGGAAAAGGC
Molecule: long non-coding RNA, 1299 nt
Organism: Salmo salar (Atlantic salmon)
Lineage: Eukaryota; Metazoa; Chordata; Actinopteri; Salmoniformes; Salmonidae
Source: RefSeq, a predicted model, not a curated record